GUAAUAAAAUUAGAAGAAUGAGAAGUGUGGGUUGAACCAACACAGAGGACGUUUAAAAUACCAACGUCUUCAUCAUUCAACACCUUGUAUGUUUCAAAUUAACCGGUUUCGGAACUGUGAGCAUUUAAAGUUUUCUCCCCAAACUGAUAUUGUGGGAAUUAAUCAGGUGGUUUCUCUCUGAGUAUAAAUUUCUAUCAACUUGUAAAGUUUUUUUUAUUGAUUGCAACACCCUUUGCGCCGUGUAUCAUCAUGUUUCUUCAAAUCGGGGCUUGAACGGUUAAAAGUUUUGGGAAGUGGGUUGGUUUUCACCCACAAGUCCAUAAAUAACUGCAACUUCAGUUGAUUUCUUGCUGAAUAUUAUUUUCCAGCGUUUGAAUGAUGUUACUUAAGUUACAUUUAAAUGUUUUAUAUUGGGACAACAAAAGAUGUCGAUUAGGUUCAAAGGUAGAUUGCGUUUUCGUAAUCUUUAAUUAUUUCGUUAAUCAGGUGCGUGUGCGUAAUUUUAACUGCAUUAAAAUGAUGCUUUGUUCUAGUCAGACAGUCAACGUCUAGACCCUUAACUGAGUAUAAAGGAAGGGUCAACUUUCCAUUUUGUUCAGGUCGCAGCUGACUCAAUUCAAAGAUAGGCAGUCUGCCUAAGAAACAAUAAGUCACUAGCAGACAGAUUUGCUAGAUUUGUGCCUUACUAUGAACUCCUUGCCGACUUAAUACGGUCUUUUGAAAAUAAUGCAGGUCUCCAACAUUCGAAAACGUCUGUUUGUCUUUGCCGAUUUUUGCUAGUAUCUUAUGAAAAUACUGGCAUUUUUUACUAGUUUGAGGUGCGUAUUGUAUCGUGAAGAAAGCUCAAGGAAAAUCCCUAAUCAUCUCUUGUGAAGCAAAUGGAAAACUUGUGGUUUUAGACCCAACACUUGUAAAAUCCCGUUAAUUCACUUAAAUCACCGAAAGUCUACCUAUUUUAGGUAACGUGCUGGAGCCAAAGCCAGAACUAUAUUAAAUAAAAAGCGUAAUUUUUUCGCCAUUGUGAUCUACUAAAAAAGUUUAAAUACCGGAGUAUAGCACAGAAAGUCAAUUUUGGAUGCGUUUGAUAGUGCAAUGUCUAUAAGCGGAUAGUUUAAAUUGGAAAAAAAAAUUGGUUGUCUUUGUAGGUCGGGCUUUAGUAUUUAUUUAUUUAGAAACCCCCAAAGCGCAAAAAUCGCUUUUAUAUGUAUUUUGAAGUGCAAAGUCUGUUUUAUAAGUGACAAAAGUUUCUAAUUUCAGUCAUUAUCAAGUGUUUAAAACCGCGUCUGGUUGUUGUGCUGUUUUUUUGCAGGCCACAGUUUAUUAUUUAUUUACUCUGUAAUUUGCGACGUGAGAAAAUCAAUUUUGGAUGCGUUUUAUAGCGCAAAGUCUCGUCUUUAAGUGGACAAAGUUUCGAUUUUCAGCCACCAUUAGGUAAUUUUUGACGGCCGGGGUUUGUCAUAUGAGAAUCGCCAAACUCGCUAAUCGCUUUUGUAUGUAUUAUGUAAGUGGAAAAUGUUUAGAUUAUCAGUCAUCAUCAGGCGAUUUUUAAGAAUUUUUCAAAAUUGCAUGUAGUUUUUGCGGUUAUUUAAGCAGAUCGAAGUUUGGCAUUUAUUUGCCUGGGAACUUGCAUAGUUAGAAAGUGACUUAUUUGCUACAUUUGUAUGGCAAAACUGCUCCAUAAAUGGAAAGUUUCGAUUUUGACGCAUUCUUGCAACAUUUAUUUCUUCAGAAAUCAAUCCGGUGACUUGUAUGAAUUUUGGUAGCCAUAGACUGUUUUGAGUCAUUAUCGGGCUAUUUUCAAUUCAUCAGUUUUAGUAUUACUUUGCGAUAUAAUUUCGUGGUUGUUUGUGCACGCUUAAGUUUGACGUUUAUUUUUUCAGAAAGCAGUGAAGUUUUAAAUAUAAUUUCGAGUAUAUUUUGUGGGGCAAAGUGCGUUCUAUAAGUGGAAAACGUUUCAGUGUCGAUUCAUUCUCAGCCAAUUUAUUGAGAAGCUUUUUAAUGAGCUUUGGAUUUUUGAAGUUGCUCUUUCAGGCAUCUAUGAGCAUUUGAACUUUCCAACUUGAUAUUGUGGGAGCUUUUCGUCAACUCGGGGUUUGGACUGAUAAAUAUCUUGAAAGAUUGUGUACGCAGUUUUAGCUGCGUUAAAAUUGUGUUUUACCUAUUUAAACGGUCAGAGUAUUCACGUAUAGAGAAAUGAUUCAAGCUAUUGUGGGGUUGGCCAAAAUUUUUCAUUAUUACACCAUGGGUUAACUAAUGUCUGAAUUUGCAAGAAAAAGUUGAGAAGGUAAUCUAAAAGCAGAAGAUCCUAUCCCAUGAAUUCCAAAUAGUUUUUCCAAAAAAACAACCGUUCUUGUUCAUGACGGUCUAGCUUCGGAAAUAGUAGAUUAUUUGGUUCAUGAU
Molecule: long non-coding RNA, 2400 nt
Organism: Dendroctonus ponderosae (mountain pine beetle)
Lineage: Eukaryota; Metazoa; Arthropoda; Insecta; Coleoptera; Curculionidae
Exons: 3
Source: RefSeq, a predicted model, not a curated record